GACGAACGCUGGCGGCGUGCUUAACACAUGCAAGUCGAACGGAAAGGCCCUGCUUUUGUGGGGUGCUCGAGUGGCGAACGGGUGAGUAACACGUGAGUAACCUGCCCUUGACUUUGGGAUAACUUCAGGAAACUGGGGCUAAUACCGGAUAGGAGCUCCUGCUGCAUGGUGGGGGUUGGAAAGUUUCGGCGGUUGGGGAUGGACUCGCGGCUUAUCAGCUUGUUGGUGGGGUAGUGGCUUACCAAGGCUUUGACGGGUAGCCGGCCUGAGAGGGUGACCGGCCACAUUGGGACUGAGAUACGGCUCAGACUCCUACGGGAGGCAGCAGUGGGGGAUAUUGCACAAUGGGCGGAAGCCUGAUGCAGCAACGCCGCGUGCGGGAUGACGGCCUUCGGGUUGUAAACCGCUUUCGCCUGUGACGAAGCGUGAGUGACGGUAAUGGGUAAAGAAGCACCGGCUAACUACGUG
RNAcentral lists this ribosomal RNA (468 nucleotides) under uncultured bacterium. RNAcentral's name for it is "partial 16S ribosomal RNA". It matches the Rfam family "Bacterial small subunit ribosomal RNA", at positions 28 to 507 of the family's 1533-position model. The record is from RNAcentral.